Molecule: ribosomal RNA, 1195 nt
Filed under: Staphylococcus pseudintermedius
Lineage: Bacteria; Bacillati; Bacillota; Bacilli; Caryophanales; Staphylococcaceae
Description: partial 23S ribosomal RNA
Rfam family: Bacterial large subunit ribosomal RNA
Source: RNAcentral
CACUGCCGAGAAAAGCCUCUAGCUAGAAUAACGGUGCCCGUACCGCAAACCGACACAGGUAGUCAAGAUGAGAAUUCUAAGGUGAGCGAGCGAACUCUCGUUAAGGAACUCGGCAAAAUGACCCCGUAACUUCGGGAGAAGGGGUGCUCUUUGAGGUUCACGCUUCGAAGAGCCGCAGUGAAUAGGCCCAAGCGACUGUUUAUCAAAAACACAGGUCUCUGCUAAACCGUAAGGUGACGUAUAGGGGCUGACGCCUGCCCGGUGCUGGAAGGUUAAGAGGAGUGGUUAGCGCAAGCGAAGCUACGAAUCGAAGCCCCAGUAAACGGCGGCCGUAACUAUAACGGUCCUAAGGUAGCGAAAUUCCUUGUCGGGUAAGUUCCGACCCGCACGAAAGGCGUAACGAUUUGGGCACUGUCUCAACGAGAGACUCGGUGAAAUCAUAGUACCGGUGAAGAUGCCGGUUACCCGCGACAGGACGGAAAGACCCCGUGGAGCUUUACUGUAGCCUGAUAUUGAAAUUCGGUACAGUUUGUACAGGAUAGGUAGGAGCCUUAGAAGCGUGAGCGCUAGCUUACGUGGAGGCAUUGGUGGGAUACUACCCUAAUUGUAUUGGAUUUCUAACCCGCAGCACUUAUCGUGCUGGGAGACAGUGUCAGGCGGGCAGUUUGACUGGGGCGGUCGCCUCCUAAAGAGUAACGGAGGCGCUCAAAGGUUCCCUCAGAAUGGUUGGAAAUCAUUCAUAGAGUGUAAAGGCAUAAGGGAGCUUGACUGCGAGACCUACAAGUCGAGCAGGGUCGAAAGACGGACUUAGUGAUCCGGUGGUUCCGCAUGGAAGGGCCAUCGCUCAACGGAUAAAAGCUACCCCGGGGAUAACAGGCUUAUCUCCCCCAAGAGUUCACAUCGACGGGGAGGUUUGGCACCUCGAUGUCGGCUCAUCGCAUCCUGGGGCUGUAGUCGGUCCCAAGGGUUGGGCUGUUCGCCCAUUAAAGCGGUACGCGAGCUGGGUUCAGAACGUCGUGAGACAGUUCGGUCCCUAUCCGUCGUGGGCGUAGGAAAUUUGAGAGGAGCUGUCCUUAGUACGAGAGGACCGGGAUGGACAUACCUCUGGUGUACCAGUUGUCGUGCCAACGGCAUAGCUGGGUAGCUAUGUAUGGACGGGAUAAGUGCUGAAAGCAUCUAAGCAUGAAGCCCCCCU